GAUGAACGCUGGCGGCGUGCCUAAUACAUGCAAGUCGAGCGAACAGAUGAGGAGCUUGCUCCUUUGACGUUAGCGGCGGACGGGUGAGUAACACGUGGAUAACCUACCUAUAUGACUGGGAAAACUUCGGGAAACCGGAGCUAAUACCGGAUAAUAUACUGAACCGCAUGGUUCAAUAGUGAAAGACGGUGUUGCUGUAUCGUAUAGAUGGAUCCGCGCUGCGUUAGCUAGUUGGUAAGUUAACGGCUUACCAAGGCAACGAUGCGUUGCCGACGUGUGAGGGGGGUCGGCCACACUAGAACUGGGACGCCGACCAGACUCCUACGGGACGCAGCAGUAUGGAACCUUCCGCAGUGGGCGAAAACCUUACGGAACAGCGCCGCGUGAGUGAUGACAGUCUUCGGAUCGUAAAACUCUGUUAUUAGGGAAGAACAGAUGUGGAAGGAACUAUACACGUCUUGACGGUACCUAGUCAGAAAGCCACGGCUAACUACGUG
RNAcentral lists this ribosomal RNA (497 nucleotides) under uncultured bacterium. Its description in RNAcentral is "partial 16S ribosomal RNA". It matches the Rfam family "Bacterial small subunit ribosomal RNA", at positions 28 to 507 of the family's 1533-position model. The record is from RNAcentral.